This 83-nucleotide transfer RNA is filed under the name Treponema rectale. RNAcentral's name for it is "tRNA-Leu". It matches the Rfam family "tRNA". Rfam says of the family: Transfer RNA (tRNA) molecules are approximately 80 nucleotides in length. Lineage: Bacteria; Pseudomonadati; Spirochaetota; Spirochaetia; Treponematales; Treponemataceae. The record is from RNAcentral. RNAcentral also lists the same sequence under 1 other name.
GGGGCCAUGGCGGAACUGGUAGACGCGCUAGAUUCAGGUUCUAGUGAGCAAUCAUGAGGGUUCGAGUCCCUUUGGCCCCACCA